UACGUAGGGUGCGAGCGUUGUCCGGAUUUAUUGGGCGUAAAGAGCUUGUAGGCGGCUCGUCACGUCGGGUGUGAAAACUCGCGGCUCAACCGCGAGCCUGCACCCGAUACGGGCGGGCUAGAGUUCGGCAGGGGAGACUGGAAUUCCUGGUGUAGCGGUGGAAUGCGCAGAUAUCAGGAGGAACACCGGUGGCGAAGGCGGGUCUCUGGGCCGAUACUGACGCUGAGGAGCGAAAGCGUGGGGAGCGAACAGG
RNAcentral lists this ribosomal RNA (253 nucleotides) under uncultured bacterium. RNAcentral describes it as "partial 16S ribosomal RNA". It matches the Rfam family "Bacterial small subunit ribosomal RNA", at positions 524 to 776 of the family's 1533-position model. The record is from RNAcentral.